CAGCAUGAAGACAGAAUGAAGAGAAACAGAUGCUGAGAGAGGAAUAGUGAAUAUAGAAAAUGAAGAUUUCACUGGAGAGCUGAUUUAGUGAAACAGUGAAGACGUUUAUUCAAGAUGCAUUCGAGGCGUUUUUUAGAUGCUGGCCGGAAGAGAGGUCAGAGAGGCAAACAGCGGAUUUUUGGCACAGAAAGAGACGUAGGAGAACGAAGGGACAGCUACGAGGAUUACAACACAGUACAGAGGCGAUCGCAACGCACAUCAGUGAGACGCCAAUUCUACAGACCGUAAUUGAAGGAGAAAGGUCCAACGAUAUGUACUGGUACUACCAUCUGGUUAAAUCGAUACAAAUGAACUGAUAAACUUUGGACUACAAACAACUAGAUGCUCUCCAGUGAAAUCUUCAUUUUCUACAUGAUACCUCCUUUCUGGACGUGGCAAAACCAGAUCACUGUCGGAUUGAGCUAUUACUGAUACAUACGGUUUGUGGCAACAAGUUAUUUGUAUUUUGAAUAGUGAAUAUAAACUUGAUUAUUGCAGAAACAGUGCACAAUUUUCCACUUUAAGCUUCUCUGCAUUGUUAUUGAUUGAUACUGUACGUAAC
Xenopus laevis (African clawed frog) is the source of this 601-nucleotide long non-coding RNA. RefSeq lists it as uncharacterized. The transcript is spliced from 3 exons. NCBI's taxonomy places the organism in Eukaryota, Metazoa, Chordata, Amphibia, Anura, Pipidae. The record is from RefSeq and is a predicted model, not a curated record.